This 1011-nucleotide long non-coding RNA is filed under the name Homo sapiens (human). Its description in RNAcentral is "HSALNT0319360". The record is from RNAcentral. Lineage: Eukaryota; Metazoa; Chordata; Mammalia; Primates; Hominidae.
GUGCCCAGAGGCAUGACGGGAAGUGUGGUUUUUUUCUCCUAAUUUGAGCCCCACCUGUCCUUCCGCCGAUUGGCCCAGUGAGCUAAGAAAUCAGGAUGGGGGAGCAACUUUUGCAUUAAAUACAGCUCACAAAUGAUCUUUCCUGCCCAUUCUCAAACCAUGAAAUUUCCGCACUUCCUGAUAUAGAGGCCUCAGAAACAUCUUUGAUUCCUUUCUCCAGGGGCUUACUAAGCCCGUUGGUUCUACGUCUAUUAUUAAUUCUUUCAAUAAGUAUUUAUGAGGCCUGCUAUGUGACAGGCUCCAUACUUGGCACGGCGGAUAAAAAGAGGAAUAUGACACAGAUUGCAAAAGAGAAACAAGUAAACGGAAAUCAGAGCAUAGUGAUUGUGUAAUAUGUGUAGAGGCUGAUUUAAUCACAGGGAGCACAGAGGACGGUACCUAAAUCAGAAGGGAUCUGGGGAGGUUUCCUGGAAAAGGUUUCAACCAAAGCCAUAAAUGCUGAUGUGGAUAUCAGGACAGUGUUUCAAGCAAUUUAGAUACAAUAUAAAAUAUACUGAUGCCAUAGUAGAAGAAGUUGAAGCCACUUUGCCAAGAUAUUUGGUUCUGAUACAAAGGAAGUUUUUCUCGGCCUGGUCUUGACUUAACAGUGACUUUAGUACUAUCCUGUUCAGACACCUCAAGUCUUCAGAAGAAAGCAGAUGAUGUGAAAGUAUAUCUAGGUCCCCAAGAGAGAUGCAAAUUACCAGCUGUAUUCCCUCAUGUCAGGAAAAAGAGGGUCCCAUAUAUUUCUUGUCUAAUACAAAAUCGCAGAAGGCUGAAACACAUUAACUAGAAAAGAGAAUGCAAUUUGGAUUCAACUACCUGCUGUCAUGAAAGCUAGGUGACACUGAAGUGGUCAUUUAUAACUACGUUACUAUGGAGACAGGAAAGAUAUAUAUUUAUCCAAACCUGGGGAUGAAUUAAUCUUAAAAAGAUGAGUACAAGUACUUCAACAGAUGAGGACGAUCUGAA